GCUGAAGAACGCAGCGAAAUGCGAUACGUAAUGUGAAUUGCAAAUUCAGUGAAUCAUCGAGUCUUUGAACGCACAUUGCGCCCCCUGGUAUUCCGGGGGGCAUGCCUGUCCGAGCGUCAUUGCUGCCCUCAAGCACGGCUUGUGUGUUGGGCCCCGUCCUCCGAUCCCGGGGGACGGGCCCGAAAGGCAGCGGCGGCACCGCGUCCGGUCCUCGAGCGUAUGGGGCUUUGUCACCCGCUCUGUAGGCCCGGCCGGCGCUUGCCGAUCAACCCAAAUUUUUAUCCAGGUUGACCUCGGAUCAGGUAGGGAUACCCGCUGAACUUAAGCAUAUCAAUAAGCGGAGGA
RNAcentral lists this unclassified non-coding RNA (345 nucleotides) under soil metagenome. RNAcentral describes it as "partial contains 5.8S ribosomal RNA, internal transcribed spacer 2, and large subunit ribosomal RNA". The stretch from base 3 to 119 matches the Rfam family "5.8S ribosomal RNA", at positions 37 to 154 of the family's 154-position model. The record is from RNAcentral.